UUGACAAUCUUAUCGUGAAGGCAUACUUUCAGGAGUGAGGGUAGAGCGGGGUUUCCCCCGCCCUGGUAGUCUUAGUAUGCUGGGAAGCUUAUGACUAAGAGCACCACGAUGAUGAGUAGCUUCAUCAUGACCCUUUCCUUAUU
Molecule: small RNA, 143 nt
Filed under: Escherichia coli O26:H11 str. 2011C-3506
Lineage: Bacteria; Pseudomonadati; Pseudomonadota; Gammaproteobacteria; Enterobacterales; Enterobacteriaceae
Description: QUAD RNA
Rfam family: Short Intergenic Abundant RNA
About the family: This family contains multiple ncRNA from E. coli that were identified in a large scale screen of E. coli, were they were called candidates 43,55 and 61.
Source: RNAcentral